RNAcentral lists this ribosomal RNA (468 nucleotides) under uncultured bacterium. RNAcentral's name for it is "partial 16S ribosomal RNA". It matches the Rfam family "Bacterial small subunit ribosomal RNA", at positions 28 to 507 of the family's 1533-position model. The record is from RNAcentral.
GACGAACGCUGGCGGCGUGCUUAACACAAGCAAGUCGAACGGAAAGGCCCUGCUUUUGUGGGGUGCUCGAGUGGCGAACGGGUGAGUAACACGUGAGUAACCUGCCCUUGACUUUGGGAUAACUUCAGGAAACUGGGGCUAAUACCGGAUAGGAGCUCCUGCUGCAUGGUGGGGGUUGGAAAGUUUCGGCGGUUGGGGAUGGACUCGCGGCUUAUCAGCUUGUUGGUGGGGUAGUGGCUUACCAAGGCUUUGACGGGUAGCCGGCCUGAGAGGGUGACCGGCCACAUUGGGACUGAGAUACGGCCCAGACUCCUACGGGAGGCAGCAGUGGGGAAUAUUGCACAAUGGGCGGAAGCCUGAUGCAGCAACGCCGCGUGCGGGAUGACGGCCUUCGGGUUGUAAACCGCUUUCGCCUGUGACGAAGCGCGAGUGACGGUAAUGGGUAAAGAAGCACCGGCUAACUACGUG